AAACUCAAAACGUAUAUCAUUAAGUUCUUUUCUGGAGUUCCUUAAUCUCAAGACAAGAUUCACUGCACAUGGAACUUCACUAUAUUCAUCACUAACAGCAGGCUGAGACUCUGUGUUCUCCUCUUCUUUCACUCUUCGUGACUUCUCCUGAGAAACAGCAGCUUUGCCUUCUUCACUCUUUUCAUCCAUUUCAUCAUCACUCCAUUCCCAGUCUCCAUCUUCUGUU
RNAcentral lists this long non-coding RNA (226 nucleotides) under Gallus gallus (chicken). Lineage: Eukaryota; Metazoa; Chordata; Aves; Galliformes; Phasianidae. The record is from RNAcentral.